GCGCGAUGCAGAACGGCGGCGGCGGCUGGAGCUUGCAGGGGCAGGAUCCGUGCAGGGUAGGGGCUGGGGAGGCGGAUCAGGAGGCGGGCGGCGUGGCGGGGAUUGCCGGUGACGACGAGGAAGGCCGGAGCGCGGCUUCCCGGGUGGGUUCAUGGCAUCCACGGCUAUUGGGCAGAGAGGAGACAAGGAGGCGAGGGAGAGAAGAAGGGACAAAGGAAGAGCGGUGCGGCGACCUAGGCAGGAGCUCGCCGGAGCCGGGCGAUGGCGGACGGGCGCGGGAGACGGAGGGAUCCCGUGCGGCGGCGUGAAGUCCUUGCUAGUGGCGUCGACGGCUGGGCGUGCGACGGCGCGGAGCCCUCCCGUUGCUACGGCGUCCGGUGGAGUGCCCUGAGGGCGCGGAUGCUGCUGCUACACCAGCACCACCAGCCCAAGGUCAGCCUCCUCCACCUCGUUCUGUAGCGCAACUCCUGUCUCGCAUCAUGCUGCCUUACUUCUGCCCCUUUGGAUUGGAGAGCGUGUGCUCUCAGCUCUGCUGGGCCAGCUGUGCUCUGUUGCGUGCGAGCAAGGGAGAAGAGCGAGCUUGCUGAUUCUUCUUACCUGCAGCUCCAACACGAAAGCCAGCCAAUCGACUCUUGAUAGCAGAACACAAACAAUACAAGUAAACAGAAUUCUAAGACAGCCAAGGUGGAUAUGAUAGCAGCGGAAGUAAUUGUUGAUUUAAGUGUAACAACAUUGUGUGCUAUUCUAUCCUGGUCUUGCUUUUCUUCUUGGAUAACUUCUCUAAACUCUCAAUAGAUUUCUUGGGUUGGCGUGGUUGUUAGUAUUAGUUAAUACAAACCCUAUAUAGCCAGCUAUGGCUAUAUAUGAAUUUUGUUACUUGAAAUGUUCAAUACAAGUGUUGACUUGAAAAACUAAAAUCGUGUGUAAGGAAUCAUGUAACCAUAUUGGAUGAAGGUGACCCAUAAAUUCAUUCAGUUAAUUGAAUUCUUUUUGCCUUCUGCUCAAGAUAGGUACCCAAGCUCUAAUAAUUUCAGUGGCAACUACAUCCGAACUUUGUCACAUCUUUCUAUUUAAAAAUUGUGAUUAUAUCAUUUGUCAUCUGAAAACCAGACUCAUGUAUACAUUAUGGGACAUAAUGUCCAGGAAAUAAUCACCAGGUACAGACAUCACUCUUGACCUACAUUGUACAACAUUGCAUAAUUUUCUGUUUUUCUUGAGGUACCGCUCAGUACUUUUUUAUCGCACACAUAGAUAGAACAAAGGCCACAAGAGCUGAUUUGGUACACCUUGCUGCAUGCGCUCUCACUUGAUUAAGAUAUUCAAAGUGUGAGCUUUUGAAAUUUCCAAAAAUAAGUCAGAUUCUCAUUAUUAACCUAUGUGCACAUGCCAAUAUUUUCUGACUCUGACAGAUUGUGUUUGAUAAUAAUUUGAUGAACCACCAUGUCGCCCUUCCGCCUGGUUCCAUGGGAAAGUAAUUUACAAAGCUCCAGUUGGUCAAUACAGCCUAGAUGUUUUGUUUUGAACAGGCAGCCUACAGGUUGACAUUUUUUUUAGUUCCAUGUUUUCUAGCAUUGCUUAACUUUAUUUGAAAAAGUGUUGUAGUUAUGUAUGCAGGAUACAGUACUAGAGGUGUAUGCAGGAUACAGUAGUGGAGUUGGAAUUUCAGGGCAUCCAAAAAUAAUUUACUAUGCUUCAGGCAAGAAAGUUAAUUUGUUUGACCUUUGUAAGGACUACAUUACUAGCUUAAUGCAUGGAACUUAUUGAGCUGCAUACAUGGCAUGUGCGUACAUAGAGACCUGCUGCAUCAAAGCUCGGUGCGGAUACACCUCUUCUUACAGGACAGGUUGUGUACAACUUAUGUUGAGCUUAAAUUUCCAUAAUAAAACGUGUGUUUUUAUUUAUCAUUGUUUCCCUCCUACAAAACCAAACAUUUUCAGAUGUUGUUUUUUCAUUUCCUUCCGACGCUAUUAAAUCUCAGUCUUACCUAUGUUGAAAUGGUUCCAGUGUGUGUGUGAUGCAUUGCUUCCCUUAGUUUUCGGAGGAACAUGGUGCUAUUCCUGGUGAUUUUGGUUAUGGAAAAGCUGACAUUAGUCAGGAACUUUCUAAGGUGAUCACUUUAUUGCUCCGUUCUCAUCAUACCGUCUCUACACUGUCUACUGAGUUCAAAAAUCCAUGCUGUACUCUAAUUCUGAAGCUUUGGUUUAUGUGGGAUGUGGCUGAAAGAGGAAAUGAGAUAGCCGAUGUUUAAUGGGUUUCCCCCAAUCGACAAUGACAUUUCCUCACAUGAUGUGAAGAGUGGAGCCGCUUAAAGUAAAUGGCGAGCUCACCAUGGUCGCCUUUCUUACUACAGAUUGGGAGCCGCCGACUACGACCCUAUGACCCAUGGUGUGUAGAUGAUACACUGGUGAGGCAUUCAAGGGACAAACAGGAGCUCACGAUUUUCAGGGAUGAGGAGGAGCUUGCAAUUUCCAGGCUUGGCCUGCCCGACCUGCCGACGCAUGUGGAAGACUAGGAGUCUGGUGUUUUCUCUGCAGCGAAGCACAAAUGUCCCCGGGUGCAACUCACGGGCUCUUUUGCUUUUACACACUUCAUUUUGUAAUUUUAGUGUUCGACUAAUAGUACAUCUGUUGGAACAAGUGCAAAGGCAACAUCAUCUUCCAGCAAAAAAUUUCCCCUGCGUUGAGCGCUUCAGAGAUGCACUAGGAGAGAGCAGGUUCUGGUGGACAAAGAGGUGAUAAGCGAUGAACUCUUCCAGUAUAAAUGUUGAUGGUCCUAAUUCCUUUAUAAUUUAUUUCUUGAUCACUUUAAGUUACAAAACAUCUCUGUGACUUUUCGUGUUCUGUGAUAAUAUAUUUGAUUAUAGCCA
Molecule: long non-coding RNA, 2866 nt
Organism: Triticum aestivum (bread wheat)
Lineage: Eukaryota; Viridiplantae; Streptophyta; Magnoliopsida; Poales; Poaceae
Exons: 2
Source: RefSeq, a predicted model, not a curated record